RNAcentral lists this long non-coding RNA (812 nucleotides) under Mizuhopecten yessoensis (Yesso scallop). RNAcentral's name for it is "uncharacterized LOC110455181". Lineage: Eukaryota; Metazoa; Mollusca; Bivalvia; Pectinida; Pectinidae. The record is from RNAcentral.
UGGUCACUGUUAACCUUGACCACGACAGUCACUGACCACCGACACGGACACAUCUCUUUCUGGACAAUGAUUAAGGCAGUACUUCUACUAGCUGUCAUCGGCAGUGCAUUUGCUCAAAGACAGUCUAUGGUUUAUACGUCAUUGCCAGCAGAUGGCGCUGCUACCAGCAGUGCCGCUACAGGUUCGGCAGCAGCUGAGCAUACUACAGGCCAUGCAGGAAGACACCCUAUAGGCCAUACCGGAAGGCAUACUGCUGGUCAUGCAGGACGACAAUUUGGAAACACAAACAUAUUCAUGCGCAUGCUCAACAACCCUAUAAGACUUUGCCGGGAGACCGAAAACAUGAGAGCCAUACCUUGCGCUAGGAAUAACGCCUGUAAUGUUGUGUCCAUGAUGGAGUAUGGAAUGCCCAACAUGUUGACAUGUAGCCCGAUGGGAAUUGGAUGUUGUGUGAAGGACGUCAUAUCCCUUCAUCUUAUCAAACAGUUAAGAUGAACAGAUUAGCUGGAAAUAAAGGAUUGGGCAAAGGUGGCACUGGAAUCAUAACGUAUAAACCCAGACGUCGGGCGAAUGCAAUGAAAUCAAACAAUUGUUUUAAUUUAUUCUUAUAUUUGUCCCAAACAAAACGAUUUAUUCCUUUCACUUUGUUAAAUAUAGACUGACUCUGUUUUGAUAUCGACUUAUUGUCCAACAUAAACUGCAUUUGUAUGACAAUUGCAAUAACUUAUUAAUAAUCUAUUGGAUCAAAUUAGAUAUUUGCAUUUAUUUAUGUAUGUUAUUGUUAUGUUCAAUACAUUAUUUCUUGCAUUUAA